RNAcentral lists this ribosomal RNA (274 nucleotides) under uncultured bacterium. Its description in RNAcentral is "partial 16S ribosomal RNA". It matches the Rfam family "Bacterial small subunit ribosomal RNA", at positions 523 to 796 of the family's 1533-position model. The record is from RNAcentral.
AGACGGAGGGGGCUAGCGUUGUUCGGAAUUACUGGGCGUAAAGCGCGCGUAGGCGGUCCGUUUAGUUAGGCGUGAAAGCCCUGGGCUCAACCCGGGAACUGCGUUUAAUACUGGUAGACUUGAGUCCGGGAGAGGGUGGCGGAAUUCCCAGUGUAGAGGUGAAAUUCGUAGAUAUUGGGAAGAACACCAGUGGCGAAGGCGGCUACCUGGACCGGUUCUGACGCUGAGGUGCGAAAGCGUGGGUAGCAAACAGGAUUAGAUACCCUAGUAGUCC